Long non-coding RNA from Lynx canadensis (Canada lynx), 923 nucleotides. RefSeq lists it as uncharacterized. The transcript is spliced from 3 exons. The record is from RefSeq and is a predicted model, not a curated record. NCBI's taxonomy places the organism in Eukaryota, Metazoa, Chordata, Mammalia, Carnivora, Felidae.
CCCCCCCGGGCGGCCUUUCAGAGGGCCGGCGCCGCGCGCUCGCGCCCGGGCAGCGGCCGCGUGCUCGGGGUCGGCCCGGUCGCGCGUCCCCGCCGGCGGUCGCAGGAGCGAGGGCGCGGGCGGAAGCGCGGGUUCCCCGUGGGCCUAGCUGCAGUGCCUGGGACGGCGGCGUGGCCUUCUUCGUUGCCGGUAGCGAGCCACCAAGAGGAUUUUUGAAACACGAAACUCCUCUGGACAUUUUGAACUUGAAAGCAUAAAAGUUGUCACGGUUGCGAAGCACCUGCAGAAUGCAAACACAGGUAUUUUGGAACACAGUGGAUCCGGCCCUCUUUUCAACCGAUUGGUCGAAUACAAAUACCACAGCCAGCCAUUCCAUACCCACCAUCGUCCAUUGAACACCAGCUCGGCUUCAAUAACUGAAGACUUUACACCUGGGGUGAGACGCUAUUUUACAAGCCAAGAUGGGUGAGCACGAAGCCUUCUCUUCAAGAAGAGAGCCCCACGAUGAACAGGUUGGUGACAAGGCGGGACAGCCUGGCCCCCUUGGCAGCUCUUGUUUUCAGGCUGAUCGGGUUUAGGAAGAGCCCCGUGUGGACUUGAAGCACCAGGCUGUCAGUUCCUUUAACACUGAGUUCCCACUUGCCUGGGGCUAAUCUUUGUGAAGACGUGGUGAGCCUGCCCAAGGGAGUACCUGUCCCAACUGAACGACCAGCGGCCUGAGGAAUCCCGGUGGGACUGGCUUUCCCAGGUGCUUCGGGCACAAUGAGAGUGGAGAGGAGACCUACCUGCCAGGCCCCGGAGUGCAUCGCCACGUCUCCUCCACAACCUUUCACGCAACUUUAACGAUGGAUUUUUUAAAAAUGUUUACUUAUUUAUUUUAGGAGAGACAGUGAGAGAGAGAAAAUGGGCAGGGGAGGGGCAGA